CGACCUGCUGCGGGCAGAUCCAGUGGAUGUGGGCGUCGAUACCGCCGGCGGUGAGGAUCAGGCCUUCGCCGGCGAUGGCUUCCGUGCCGGGACCGACGACGAUGUCGACGCCGGGCUGGACGUCGGGAUUGCCGGCCUUGCCGAUGGCGGCGAUGCGGCCGUCCUUCAGGCCGACAUCGGCCUUGACGAUCCCCCAGUGGUCGACGAUCAGGGCGUUGGUGAUGACGGUGUCGACGGCGCCUUCGGCCCGCGAGACCUGGGACUGGCCCAUGCCGUCGCG
Molecule: small RNA, 280 nt
Filed under: marine eukaryotic metagenome
Description: 5' ureB small RNA
Rfam family: 5' ureB small RNA
Source: RNAcentral